UGGCAGAAUCAGCGGGGAA
Molecule: non-coding RNA, 19 nt
Filed under: Arabidopsis thaliana (thale cress)
Lineage: Eukaryota; Viridiplantae; Streptophyta; Magnoliopsida; Brassicales; Brassicaceae
Also listed under: 1 other name
Source: RNAcentral